Long non-coding RNA from Heterocephalus glaber (naked mole-rat), 598 nucleotides. NCBI's taxonomy places the organism in Eukaryota, Metazoa, Chordata, Mammalia, Rodentia, Bathyergidae. The record is from Ensembl.
GUAAAAGCAGAGCCCGCCCCUCUCCACACCCAGUAAUGAAGAGAGAACAGAGAGCAGUGCAGAAAGUCCAUUUCAAACACCCUGCAGAGCUGACACUGAAAAACAGCUCAUUUUCUCUUCUGGACCCAUUCCCAGCUAUCCCAUACUUUUAAUGAGGAGGAAAGACAUUUUCGUUUGCCCUCUGGACACAGACCUUGGCCUGCUCAAUGUGAGACCCACUUGUCACGUUCCUCAAAGCUGCUAACAGGUGAGCCAUCCGUGACCUGCAGAGCCUCUAGUGCCUCCCUUCAGCCUCCUUUAAGCAUCUCCAUCAAGGCCCUGAUGAGCAGUAGCAGCACUUAGCCUGGAGCCUGUUCUUCUAGGAGGAGGAGGCAGAUGAUUCUGUUUAGGCCUCUGCCAGGAGCACUCUGCUCUGUACUACCCGCUCUAGGAUGCGAGGGUGAGUUAGGACAGAGUUAGGUUUCCUGCUGCUUUACAAAUUUCAGAUAUCGCCAAAUGUGGUGGCACAUGCUGGUGAUCCCAGCACUCCUGAGGCUGAGGCAGGAGGAUUGGCAUGAGUUUGAGACCAGUCUGGGCUACAUAUUAAGUUCAAGGCCAG